AACUGCUGCACGUCAUACACAGAAACAUUCAGCUCAGCGUUGUCCAAAGUUCCAGAUCAAAGUGUUUCUACAUUUUAGUUUGUUACCCUUUUCCAUAGAGGAGAGUAACAUAUUAGAUAUGUCUAUUAGUAUGCUGUAACACAGUUCAACAAUGCCACAGAUUAAAGCCCCAUAUGACCAUAGAAUCAAAUGAACACCUGUCCGAUAUGCAAACAAUGAGUCUCGAACACAUAUUUAGCCAAACGCUGCGUAUACUGUAUCAUUAAGUGGGCGUAGCUAAUCGUACCAAAUAUACUUGUGCUCCGGGUGACUCUGCAAAUCAGCGGACCUGAUCGGGGCCUUUCGGGGGCCAGGCCAAGCUAACCAGACCUUUCCAUGACCCUGUUCAGUGGUGACAGCUGCACCUGGACUCCGUGGAACAACACACUAUCCCGGGACUGCCCAAACAACGGCUCCUUCAAGCCAGACAGGCAGGCAGUCAGACCGGGUCGAGAGCAGGACCUGACUCAGCCCCAGCCACCCAGUCAUUCCGGGCCGUAGGGGGAUUUUCCUCCGGACGGAUAUAUUCUCAAACAUGAGAAAAAAAACAGACUUGUGGUCACCUCGAUGUUGGAUGUGAGAUUUGAUGGAAAAAAAACCUGACAUCUCCCAAACCGAGGAACAGGGAGCAACACAGAUCCAAACAAGCCAAGUGGACUGGCAGCGUCUCAGAAACCCCGGGAUCCCUCCUAAAGGAACACUGUGGAGGAUGCCAGCGUGUGAGCGAGGCAUGCAUGGAACGACGUAGUAUCACAAAGUGAGGCCAGCGGUCUGAUUUAGGAGGCUCCGAACCUAAAACUUGAUUGUUAGCCUGAUCGAGACCAUCUAAGGCAGAGAUGGUGCUUGAUGGAUGGCAGCAGAGCCUGUGACUGACCAGGGACCUGUGGUGCCACUCAACAGAGUCCCUGCAGUUUCUCCACUGAGUAAAAACACCACAUCCUGUCUGCAAGCCCACCCCCAUCGCUCCCCGUCCAUUGUCAUCAUAUGCAGACCUAGUAACACUGCUACAUCUUUAUGGUGUUCGACAAACUGCUCCUUAACAACUGGACCCUUUUACAUUUCUAUAAUCUGCCUGGGCAUGACUGUAUUAGCCCGAGUGUUGCUCUGUUGACAGCCGGUGUUUCACUUUCCACCACCACUGGGUGCCUUUCCAUCAUCAUGAAUACAGUUUUUUUUUUCUCUUUUCCAUAUGUUGUAUGUCGUUUCAUAUCCUUUCGGGUAUUCAUGUUGCGAGAAUACUCCGUUGCCAUGAAUGAAAAGACCUACAGUAUAGUGUGCGGAAAAUAAACAACGUGCUGUCGGUUUAA
Gasterosteus aculeatus aculeatus (three-spined stickleback) is the source of this 1346-nucleotide long non-coding RNA. RefSeq lists it as uncharacterized. The record is from RefSeq and is a predicted model, not a curated record. NCBI's taxonomy places the organism in Eukaryota, Metazoa, Chordata, Actinopteri, Perciformes, Gasterosteidae.